AGGUUUGCGCAGUGGCAGUAUCGUGCCAAUGAGGUUUAGCCCAGGCACGAUUAUUGCUAAUUGAAAACUUUUCCCAAUACCCCUCCAUGACGACUUGAAAAAACAACAACAACAACAAAAAAAAAAACCACAACACACUCAUAAAAUAUCUGUACCAAUUGUUAUU
The sequence is a small nuclear RNA, 166 nucleotides long. Its record names the gene U4. It matches the Rfam family "U4 spliceosomal RNA". From Rfam's summary of the family: U4 small nuclear RNA (U4 snRNA) is a component of the major U2-dependent spliceosome. The structure of U4 snRNA from yeast and human has been reported. The record is from Ensembl.